UGGGGAAAGGCGCAACGACUUUUUGUUCCUCUAACUUUUUACUUUCUUAAAUAAAGGGGUCUCCUUCUUAUUUGUUAGAGACUAGUGGGUGUACUUAGCCUAAAUUGUUUAGUGUUUGGUGGGGGAGGGUUUUGUUUAAAGAUUUUUUAAAGUCCUUUGGUUUUGGGGAACAUAAAAGAUAAGUGGCCUUCUUAAUACAUGCUAGUGGACAAAGUGUGCAAACAGGUGAGGAAACCCGGGAGCUAAGUUUGGGGCUGGGCCGGAGUCGUAUUAGGUCGAAGGUGGUAUAAAAGACCAUCUUGCCGAAGAUGCGCGGCUUUAAACUUGAAGCCACAUUUUCACUGAGACAAGGGGAGAGCUCAGAGGGGGGCUGAAAGCCCUCGAGGCAGCAGUAAAGAAUUUUGUGCAAUAUACGAAAGUAAGACACAGAGAGGACACAUUUACCUAAUCCGUCAAAUUAAGUGCCAGCAGACGCGGUGAAACUUAAGGGUUAGUCUUAUAGGAAAAAGCGUAACGGGUGUGAAAGGUGGCAAUGGUUUUUUAAGAGGUAAAUGGAAUUUUUCUGUAAUGGUUGAAUGUGUUGAUAGAAAAAAGAACUUUAAACGCGAAGGUAAUUUAUCUCUAAGAAUGGGCCCCGCAAGGCUGAAACACGAAAGUAUGGGGAGCAAACAGGAUUAGAGACCCUGGUAGUCCAUACUGUAAAUAAUGAAGAUGGCGUGAGGCGCCCCCAAAAGGGAAGAAACUUCCGCUUGAGUAGUACGAUCGCAAGAUUAAAAUUCAAAAAGCUUGGCUGUUCACUGUUCUAAUUAGAGGAGCGUGUCGUUUAAUUCGAUAGUCCGCGAGAGACCUUACCCAAACUUGAAAAAUAGCCCUUGAACAGGUAUUGCAUGGCCGUCGUCAAUUUGUGUAUAAAACGUAAAACCGGUUUAACCCAGUGGGUUCGUUUAUUGGAUGAAGUCAGGUCUUAUUGUCCUAAUGUUUGGGGAUUAGAUGCGCUACAUUUUUUUAUACAAUGGGAGACUUUGAAAGUGAAACCCUAAAGUAAGAGUUCGGAAGGUGCCUGGAAGAUAACUGAAAGUGGUAUUUAAUAGUAAUCGGAAAGUAGAGCGUUCUGGCGAAACUGGCCCAGUGUUAGUACAAAUUGCCCGUCGCCUUUGCUUAGAGUGGUGGGUUGGACGCCCCUUAUUGUAGGGGUUACGAGCACCUUCGAGGCAGAGCAAGUCGUAACAUAGUGAGGGUGGGGGAACUGGCCCUUG
RNAcentral lists this ribosomal RNA (1256 nucleotides) under Corynactis californica. RNAcentral's name for it is "small subunit ribosomal RNA". The stretch from base 145 to 1256 matches the Rfam family "Bacterial small subunit ribosomal RNA". Lineage: Eukaryota; Metazoa; Cnidaria; Anthozoa; Corallimorpharia; Corallimorphidae. The record is from RNAcentral.